RNAcentral lists this ribosomal RNA (253 nucleotides) under uncultured bacterium. RNAcentral's name for it is "partial 16S ribosomal RNA". It matches the Rfam family "Bacterial small subunit ribosomal RNA", at positions 524 to 776 of the family's 1533-position model. The record is from RNAcentral.
UACGUAGGCAGCAAGCGUUGUUCGGAGUUACUGGGCGUAAAGAGUGCGUAGGUGGUGCCCUAAGUCUGUUGUGAAAUCUCCCGGCUUAACCGGGAGGGUGCGGUGGAAACUGGGGUGCUUGAGUGUGGGAGAGGUAAGCGGAAUUCCUGGUGUAGCGGUGAGAUGCGUAGAUAUCAGGAGGAACACCGGUGGUGUAGACGGCUUACUGGACCACGACUGACACUGAGGCACGAAAGCGUGGGUAGCAAACAGG